GUAUGUGUCUGUAUGUGUCUGUAUGUAUGUGUCUGUGUGUGUCUCUGUAUGUAUGUGUCUGUAUCAUACAAACACACAGACACACACAGACACAUACAUACAGACACACAUA
Pelobates cultripes (western spadefoot toad) is the source of this 112-nucleotide non-coding RNA. Lineage: Eukaryota; Metazoa; Chordata; Amphibia; Anura; Pelobatidae. The record is from the annotation of a GenBank genome assembly.